This 937-nucleotide long non-coding RNA is filed under the name Homo sapiens (human). Its description in RNAcentral is "non-protein coding lnc-RLIM-5:1". The record is from RNAcentral. Lineage: Eukaryota; Metazoa; Chordata; Mammalia; Primates; Hominidae.
GUGUCUAAGUCAGCAUCUCCUAAAGGGCCCGAACAGCUGAGGAAGCUCUUCAUUGAAGGGUUGAGCUUUGAAACAACCUGAAAAUGGCUCAAAAUGGUUGAGUCAUUUUAAACAAUGGGGAAUGCUCACAGACUGUGUGGUAAUGAGUGAUCCAAACACCAAGCCCUCCAGGGGCUUUGGAUUUGUCACAUAUGACACCGUGGGGGAGAUGGAUGCAGCCAUGAAUGCAAGGCCACACAAGGUGGAUGGAAGAGUUGUGGAACCAAAGAGAGCUGUCUCAAGAGAAGAUUCUCAAAGACCAGGUGCCCACUUAACUUUGAAAAAGAUAUUUGUUGGUGGCAUUAAAGAAGACACUGAAGAACAUCAACUAAGAGAUUAUUUUGAAUAGUAUGGAAAAAUUGAAGUAAUUGAAAUCAUGACCGACUGAGGCAGUGGUAAGAAAAGGGAUUUUGCCUUUGUAACCUUUGACAACCAUGACUCCAUGGAUAAGACUGUCAUUCAGAAAUACCAUAGUGUGAAUGACCACAACUGUGAAGUUAGGAAAGCCCUGUCAAAGCAAGAGUUGGCCAUUGCCUCAUCCAGCCAGAGGUGGAAGUGGUUCUGGAAACUUUGAUCAUGGUCAUGGAGGUGGUGGUCGUGGAGGAAGCUUCAGUUGUCAUGGUGGCUUUGGUGGCAGUCAUGGUGGUGGUGGUUAUGGUGGCGGUGGGGAUGGCUAUAAUGGAUUUGGUAAUGAUGGAAGCAAUUUUGGAGGUGGUGGAAGCUACAAUGAUUUUGGCAGUUACAACAAUCAGUCUUCAAAUUAUGGACCCAUGAAACUUUGGAGUCAGAAGCUCUGGCCCCUAUGGUGGUGGAGGCCAAUUCUUUGCCAAACCACAAAACCAAGGUGGCUAUGAUGGUUCCAGUAGUAGCAGUAGCUGUGGCAGUGGCAGAAGAUUUU